Molecule: ribosomal RNA, 758 nt
Filed under: uncultured bacterium
Lineage: Bacteria
Description: bacterial SSU rRNA
Rfam family: Bacterial small subunit ribosomal RNA
Source: RNAcentral
GUCGACGGACUUGAGAGAGCUUGCUCUCUCAGUUAGUGGCGGACGGGUGAGUAACACGUGAGCAACCUGCCUUUAAGAGGGGAUAACGGUCGGAAACGACCGCUAAUACCGCAUAAUAUACAUGAAUCGCAUGGUUUGUGUAUCAAAGAUUUAUCGCUUAAAGAUGGGCUCGCGUCUGAUUAGCUGGUUGGUGAGGUAACGGCUCACCAAGGCGACGAUCAGUAGCCGUACUGAGAGGUAGAACGGCCACAUUGGGACUGAGACACGGCCCAGACUCCUACGGGAGGCAGCAGUGGGGAAUAUUGCACAAUGGAGGAAACUCUGAUGCAGCGAUGCCGCGUGAGGGAAGAAGGUUUUCGGAUUGUAAACCUCUGUCUUAAGGGACGAUAAUGACGGUACCUUAGGAGGAAGCUCCGGCUAACUACGUGCCAGCAGCCGCGAUAAUACGUAGGGAGCGAGCGUUGUCCGGAAUUACUGGGUGUAAAGGGAGUGUAGGCGGGAUGGUAAGUUAGGUGUGAAAUGCGGAGGCUCAACCUCCGAGCUGCACUUAAAACUGCUGUUCUUGAGUGAAGUAGAGGUUGGCGGAAUUCCCAGUGUAGCGGUGAAAUGCGUAGAUAUUGGGAGGAACAUCAGUGGCGAAGGCGGCCAACUGGGCUUUUACUGACGCUGAGGCUCGAAAGCGUGGGGAGCAAACAGGAUUAGACACCCUGGUAGUCCACGCUGUAAACGAUGAUUACUAGGUGUGGGGGGGGCUGACC